This 911-nucleotide long non-coding RNA is filed under the name Sarcophilus harrisii (Tasmanian devil). RNAcentral describes it as "lncRNA (ENSSHAG00000026434.1)". Lineage: Eukaryota; Metazoa; Chordata; Mammalia; Dasyuromorphia; Dasyuridae. The record is from RNAcentral.
CUCGCCUUUCCCCGCCCGCCCCGAGUGAGGGAAUGCAAUCCCCUCCAAGCGCAGACAGGCAGCGGCGGCGGCGGCUCCUCUGCAGCGGCGGCGGCUCCGGGCACCCAGAGAAAGCUGUCAAAGGCGCCCGUGCCCGGGGCUGGGCGCGCGCCGCCUCGCUCCGAGCCCCCGCCCCCGGCCUCCAGGUACCCCAGAGCGCGAGCGGCCGCGCGGCACGUGCGCCCCGCGCCGCCGCAGCCCCCGGAGCGGAGCCCGAGCCCGAGCCCGAGCCGGAGCCCGAGCCGGGGGCCGGGAGCCGGCGCGGGGCGGGGGCGCACGCGGCGGCCGGCAGCCCCGGACCUCGGCGCUGCCCCGCGCCCCGCGCCCAGGGCGGACUAUGCCAUUGGGAGCCCGCCGGGGCCGAGGCCAACUUGGAGCCGCCGCGGCCGGGGGAGGAGGAGGUGCCCGGGCGGCCCGGAGCAGCUCUCCCCGGGGCCGCGGCCGAGGCGGAGGGGCCCCGGCCGCGCAGCCUUGAGGCGGAGGAGCAGCCAGCCCCCGGCGGGCCGGGGCCGGAGGAAGAGCUCGGGGCCGCGCCAGGCCGGAGGGGAGCGCCCUGCCCUGCCCCGCUCUGCCCCGCGCCGCACGCACGCACGCAGCCCGAGGCCAGCAGAGGAUGUCAGCACAUGUGUGCCAUGGUAUCAUUCACCCUUCACUGCAGCCCGAGGCUUGUCCUCCUCUUCUGCUCAUGAGUGCCGGGGACGACACUGCAGGUGGGCGGUCCAGAUCAGGAGAUUCCAGGUUUGACUCCUGGCUGUCCGGGCUGUCUGACGUCGUGUCUCCUUCCAGCAGAAGGUAAGCUCCCAGAGGGCAGAGACUGCUCAGUUUUAGUCUUUUCCCUCCCACCCACCCUUGCCCAGGGCCUUGUACACAGU